This 689-nucleotide ribosomal RNA is filed under the name uncultured Candidatus Tremblayella sp. RNAcentral's name for it is "bacterial SSU rRNA". It matches the Rfam family "Bacterial small subunit ribosomal RNA", at positions 674 to 1359 of the family's 1533-position model. The record is from RNAcentral. Lineage: Bacteria; Pseudomonadati; Pseudomonadota; Betaproteobacteria.
AGUAGCGGUGAAAUGCGUAGAUAUCUGGAGGAAUACCAAAGGCGAAGGCAGUCCCCUGGUCCGAUACUGACACUGAGGUACGAAAGCGUGGGGAGCAAACAGGAUUAGAUACCCUGGUAGUCCACGCCCUAAACGAUGUCGAUUAGCCAUUGGAAGGACCCCUUUUCCUUUCAGUGACGUAGCUAACGCGUUAAAUCGACCGCCUGGGAAGUACGACCGCAAGGUUAAAACUCAAAGGAAUUGGCGGGGACCUGAACAAGCGGUGAAUGAUGUGGAUUAAUUCGAUGCUACGCGAAGAACCUUACCUACUUUGACAUGGCCAAAGUUCUACCGAGAGGCGGAAGUACUCGUAAGAGGAUUGGCGCACAGGUGCUGCAUGGUUGUCGUCAGUUCGUGUCGUGAGAUGUUGGGUUCAGUCCCGCAACGAACGCAACCCUUAUCUUUAAUUGCUCCUAUUUUAACAGGCACUUUAAAGAAACUGCCAAUGAUAAGUUGGAGGAAGGUGGGGAUCACGUCAAGUCCGCAUGGCCUUUAUAGGUAGGGCUUCACACGUCAUACAAUGGUUAGAACAAAGAGCUGCAAAUUCGUAAGAAGGAGCCAAUCUCACAAACCUAACCUCAGUUCGAAUUGCGGUCUGCAACUCGAGCGCAUGAAGCCGGAAUCGCUAGUAAUCGUGGAUCAGAAUGCCA